AGUUACCAGCACGUUAUGGUGGGCACUCUAAGGAGACUGCCGGUGGACAAACCGGAGGAAGGUGGGGAUGACGUCAAGUCAUCAUGGCCCUUACGGCCUGGGCUACACACGUGCUACAAUGGUCGGUACAAAGGGUUGCCAAGCCGCGAGGUGGAGCUAAUCCCAUAAAACCGAUCGUAGUCCGGAUCGCAGUCUGCAACUCGACUGCGUGAAGUCGGAAUCGCUAGUAAUCGUGAAUCAGAAUGUCACGGUGAAUACGUUCCCGGGCCUU
RNAcentral lists this ribosomal RNA (271 nucleotides) under uncultured Pseudomonas sp. RNAcentral describes it as "partial 16S ribosomal RNA". It matches the Rfam family "Bacterial small subunit ribosomal RNA", at positions 1113 to 1382 of the family's 1533-position model. RNAcentral also lists the same sequence under 1 other name. Lineage: Bacteria; Pseudomonadati; Pseudomonadota; Gammaproteobacteria; Pseudomonadales; Pseudomonadaceae. The record is from RNAcentral.